CAGUCGCCACGGUAAUACGGAGGGAGCUAGCGUUAUUCGGAAUUACUGGGCGUAAAGCGCACGUAGGCGGCUUUGUAAGUUAGAGGUGAAAGCCUGGAGCUCAACUCCAGAAUUGCCUUUAAGACUGCAUCGCUUGAAUCCAGGAGAGGUGAGUGGAAUUCCGAGUGUAGAGGUGAAAUUCGUAGAUAUUCGGAAGAACACCAGUGGCGAAGGCGGCUCACUGGACUGGUAUUGACGCUGAGGUGCGAAAGCGUGGGGAGCAAACAGGAUUAGAUACCCCCGUAGUCCCUGUCUCUUAUAC
This 301-nucleotide ribosomal RNA is filed under the name uncultured bacterium. Its description in RNAcentral is "partial 16S ribosomal RNA". It matches the Rfam family "Bacterial small subunit ribosomal RNA", at positions 509 to 807 of the family's 1533-position model. The record is from RNAcentral.